GGCCUAAUACAUGCAAGUCGAGCGGAUGAGUGGAGCUUGCUCCAUGAUUCAGCGGCGGACGGGUGAGUAAUGCCUAGGAAUCUGCCUGGUAGUGGGGGAUAACGUUUCGAAAGGAACGCUAAUACCGCAUACGUCCUACGGGAGAAAGUGGGGGAUCUUCGGACCUCACGCUAUCAGAUGAGCCUAGGUCGGAUUAGCUAGUUGGUGGGGUAAUGGCCCACCAAGGCGACGAUCCGUAACUGGUCUGAGAGGAUGAUCAGUCACACUGGAACUGAGACACGGUCCAGACUCCUACGGGAGGCAGCAGUGGGGAAUAUUGGACAAUGGGCGAAAGCCUGAUCCAGCCAUGCCGCGUGUGUGAAGAAGGUCUUCGGAUUGUAAAGCACUUUAAGUUGGGAGGAAGGGCAGUAAGUUAAUACCUUGCUGUUUUGACGUUACCAACAGAAUAAGCACCGGCUAACUUCGUGCCAGCAGCCGCGGUAAUACGAAGGGUGCAAGCGUUAAUCGGAAUUACUGGGCGUAAAGCGCGCGUAGGUGGUUCAGCAAGUUGGAUGUGAAAGCCCCGGGCUCGACCUGGGAAUUGCAUCCAAAACUACUGAGCUAGAGUACGGUAGAGGGUGGUGGAAUUUCCUGUGUAGCGGUGAAAUGCGUAGAUAUAGGAAGGAACACCAGUGGCGAAGGCGACCACCUGGACUGAUACUGACACUGAGGUGCCAAAGCGUGGGGAGCAAACAGGAUUAUAUACCCUGGUAGUCCAC
RNAcentral lists this ribosomal RNA (758 nucleotides) under uncultured Pseudomonas sp. RNAcentral describes it as "bacterial SSU rRNA". It matches the Rfam family "Bacterial small subunit ribosomal RNA", at positions 45 to 798 of the family's 1533-position model. The record is from RNAcentral. Lineage: Bacteria; Pseudomonadati; Pseudomonadota; Gammaproteobacteria; Pseudomonadales; Pseudomonadaceae.